GAAAUGCGAUACUUGGUGUGAAUUGCAGAAUCCCGUGAACCAUCGAGUCUUUGAACGCAAGUUGCGCCCCAAGCCUUCUGGCCGAGGGCACGUCUGCCUGGGCGUCACAAAUCGUCGUCCCCCUCAAUUCUUUUGCGGGUAUUGGACGGAAGCUGGUCUCCCGUGUGUUACCGCACGCGGUUGGCCAAAAUAUGAGUUAAGGAUGCGUGGAGCGUCCCGACAUGCGGUGGUGAACUCAAGCCUCUUCAUAUAGUCGGUCGUUCCUAUCCGAAAGCUCUCGAUGACCCAAUGUCCUCAAAGCGACCCCAGGUCAGGCGGGAUCACCCGCUGAGUUUAA
RNAcentral lists this unclassified non-coding RNA (337 nucleotides) under uncultured fungus. RNAcentral's name for it is "sequence contains ITS1". The stretch from base 1 to 107 matches the Rfam family "5.8S ribosomal RNA", at positions 50 to 154 of the family's 154-position model. The record is from RNAcentral. Lineage: Eukaryota; Fungi.